AUGGGGAGACGCCCGAAUCUCACCUAUGACCGUGAGCCUGGUGCCCGGCCCGAAGUACUGCUCGUAGGAGCACGGAGGUGCACCCCGGCACGCAAACCACUUAGGCUCCCUGAGCUCCUGCCCACCCUGGGGACCCAGCCCAGGUCUCCUAGCACAGGGCGGGACCAGGUGCCGCGAAGCAGCCACCUUCCACCCGGACCCCGCCGUCCGGCUGUUCCCGCGGCAACUCACCCAGCACGGUCAGCCGGCUGCCGGCCCCGAAAGUCAGGACGUUGGCCCCAGAGCACAGCCAGGGGACUCCCCACAAAAACCGGACCCAAGCCGCCCGCGCCCCUGCGGCCCGCGCUCACCGAGCACCAGGAGCCGCGUGCCUGGUCCGAAGUACUGGGUCUCUUGCUGUCCCCACAAUGUUACAGCUUUGUACAAAAAGCCCCUCCCACAGGUCUGCCGCCAGAGCCUGGGAGAAACCACCAAAGCAGCUGCUCCUUUGAGGGGAGUGGAGGGUGGGUGACAUCACUCCCCGUUGUGCAAGUUGGGGGUGGGGUAUGGAGCAGGCCAGGGACUUCCUUCUCACCUCCAGGCACUGUUCUCAGAACGUUUUGAGGUCCUUAGAGCUGGAUGUCUUUGUAAGGCUGUUUGGCUAAGGGGCUGGUCUUCUCCAGUACCCACCCCUCUCCAAGCUGUCACCAUGUUGGAGCACCUCCCUAUAGGGAAGCCACAGCCCCCGUCACUACCCUGAUCCUACCCUGAGGCUGUGUGUCACUUGGAGGGUUUUAAGCUCUGAGUUAAAAUCCAGAAAAAAAAAAAAAGAAAAAAAAGACAAGCUUAACUACAUACUGAUGACACACUUGCAUCAUAAAAUAUAAACAGAAUCAAAAUAUACAUGACAAUUUGGGAAAAAUAUUCCCCGUUCUCACCAUCAGGGCUAAUCUGCUCAACAUACAGUAAGCUCCUAAAAAUCAAUAAGAAAAUAACCCAGCAGCCCAAUAAAAAUGGGCAAAGAGUGAAUUGUUCA
Molecule: long non-coding RNA, 1015 nt
Filed under: Piliocolobus tephrosceles (Ugandan red Colobus)
Lineage: Eukaryota; Metazoa; Chordata; Mammalia; Primates; Cercopithecidae
Description: lncRNA (ENSPTEG00000032985.1)
Source: RNAcentral